Molecule: long non-coding RNA, 1595 nt
Organism: Capra hircus (goat)
Lineage: Eukaryota; Metazoa; Chordata; Mammalia; Artiodactyla; Bovidae
Exons: 3
Source: RefSeq, a predicted model, not a curated record
AGACGAGGCUGUGGGGGAACACUGCAGUACUGGACCUGCUCCCGGUCCCCCCUCCCCACUUUCCUUUCCGGUGGUUUGCAGGUGGAAGCCACCUGCACUUGCAGGGAACCCAGGGAUUUGCCUCCUCCUCCUCUCUUCCUGGGCGGGAGGCCAACCUGCUUUCAAUGCAGUAGGGAGCUGGUACCCAAGCCUGACCGCCGCGCCACAAGCCCACCAUUUUUUUUGCCCCAAAGUCGACAGGAGCAGGAGCAGGAAAGGAGCAUAGGCAAUGCAGUCGUGGGCCCGCAUUGGUGUUCGCCCUCGCCUUUGGAUAGCCUCUGAUCAAAUCGCGGGCAGAUGCUACUCUCCUCCUCUGGUCUAGAAGCGCGCCCGCCUACGCCUACUCCAAGGACCUAUGCGUGCAUGUGUGCUCACUCAGUCUUGACCAACUCUUUGCAACUGUUUCCAACUACAUGGACUGUUGCCAGCCAGGCUCCUCUGUCAAUGGAAUGUUCCAGGGCCCACCUGUCUGGAGAUGGACUUGAGGAAUUCUGCUCUCUCCAGCCCAGACGUUCCCCCUGCUGCUACCGCCUCUGCGUUCUUUCCUGAUGACGCCCGUGUCAGUACUUGGAUCUCAAGACUUGCUGCCUGGGACUGUAGCAGGCCCCGUCCAGCCUGGGGCGCCCAGGCCUGCCUCCCCAACUCCCGCCCCAGGGGGAAUAGCCAGGUGGGAAGUGCAGUGACAGGAGCCCCUCUCUUCUGCUUCUGGCCUCGUCCUAACUGAACCGGGACACACAUACACAUGCACGCGCACACACACACACACUGCAGAUGUCCAGAGAAAUGAGGAAGGGACACACACACGCACACACCCUUGCAGAUGCCCGGAGAAAGAAGGAGGGGACUCUGAGGAAAGGUGGGGUGGCACCUCCGUUUUCUGGGAGACACUCAGGGGGAGGGAAGGCAGGUGCAGACCUGGGCUGAAGGUUGCAGUGGCGGGCUCUUGGCUGGGCAGGGCUUGGGCUGCCACUGGCUGAAGGGCCGUGAAGGCUGGGCGCCCUCUACCCUUCUCCAUGCCUCUGUGUCCUCUUCCUGCUCCCUGAAACGUGGGCUCAGGGGCUGUGGUAGAGCAAUGCACACGGUCCCUUCCAGACCCAGGAUGCUCUGAGUCCACACUGUCCACCAGAAUGGAGUGACAAGGGGUCUUUCUUAGGAACACCAUUUGGCCUGACUGGGGGCCUUUCCAGACUGGUGGCUGCUGCCUUUCCCAGAAUCCAGGUGAACUUAGAGCACAGAACUCUUCCCUCCUGAGCCCCAGCCUUCUCACAGCCUUACUCACUCUUGGCCUCUCAGCCUCUCGAAAGGGUCCAAAUCAACCCUAGUUUUUUGAGGUCUGGGUGAUAGAGGUUGAAACAGAGGAGACAGUUACAAUCUUGAAUAUUUGGUUCACCAAACUUAUAUUUACUAAAUCUUUUAUCCUCUGUCCUAUAUAGGAUAUCAAAUAAGACACAAAUGUUCCCGGGGAUCACUGGUUUAUAUGGGAGCAUGUGUGUGUGCUAGGUCACUUCAUUUGUGUCCGACUCUGUGCAACUCCAUGGGCUGUAGCCCACCAGGCU